GUCUCAUGUUGAUGAGCCCUGGAGUUUAUCUCUCUUAAUAGUCCCCAUAGACUCCUAAAAGAGAUCUCGCAUGAGUAACUAUCAUGUAUGCAAUGAAAUAUACGAGACCUGAUGUUGAUCAGUCAUAUUCUGGAGAAGAUGAGUCAGUGAAAAACAUCUUAAAGUACUUAACCAGCACUAAGGAUGUGAUCAUAUUCAUGGUGGGUCUAAAUUAAAACUCGAGGGCUUAACAGACUCAAGUUUUUCAGACAGAUCAAGGCGACAGAAAAUCCACUUUAAGGUAAAG
RNAcentral lists this long non-coding RNA (286 nucleotides) under Panax ginseng (ginseng). RNAcentral's name for it is "long non-coding RNA (PGIN_LNC007293)". Lineage: Eukaryota; Viridiplantae; Streptophyta; Magnoliopsida; Apiales; Araliaceae. The record is from RNAcentral.